UUUGUACCCACCAAUUUUCGUAUGAAAUUAGACGCGAAUACACAGAAAUUUAAAGAAAUACUUAGAAUGGUUAGAAACAUUCACGAUGCCGCGAUAAACAUAAUAAAUGGAUAGACCGAUAUGUUAUCACUUGAAAUUAUUUUGUUUGUUUAUUUUUAGACUUUUACUUUUAAGCUGAGAAAUGGAGAUAGCUUACAAUUGUUUCCAAUCUUUACGUUGUAUUAACUUGUUUUGGUUCUCACGGCAAAAUACUUUACACGUGCAUUGUUUAAUCAUUCAAUUAUUGCCUCUUAAGAUUUGUCCUGCACUCUGUUUUUGCAGUGGUUCAUUAUGUUGCUCCCACGGAUUAUAUUUCCUUUUAUCCGCUUCAACUCAAUGCCCAGUGGCGUAUUUAUGGGGCCCAAGAUAAAUGGAGUUUGAGAGCUCCAAAUAAAAACUGAACGAACAAAGGAAAUUUCUUCCAAGUCUUCCUCGUUUAUUUUACAGACUUUUUAUGUAGUAAACAUGUUUAAUAUUAUAAAUACAUUCAAAGUGAAACCUGUUCAACAUCGCCAAUAAUAUAUUUACAUUUGAAGAAAACAGUACUUGAAGAUUUAUUUAACAGGACAAUGAUGAGUACAAUUUUGUUCAAGAUAUUAAUCUAAAUUGCAGUAAAUUAAAGGGAUUAAAUGGCAUGGCUGAUUAUUGAAAAUUAACUCAAAAAUAAUAUUCUAUUAUUAAAAAAAUUUUAAACGUAAUAUUAUUUUAAUUAAUAAUAAGCUAAUUUUCAUUAUGAUGACUAUAAAUUUUAUUAAUAGGAAUGAAGUUCAAACGUUUUUCAAAGCAGCUUCAGUAUAUCCCACUGUGCUUGAUAACAGCUAUAAUCGUUCAAAGUAACGAUACCACGAUUUAUGAUGUGAUAAUGCAACAUUUUUCGCCACAAGGAUGAUACAUCAACUCUGAACGAAAGAAGAACACGAGUACAUUCAGUUGUGUCCAAAUAAGUACAACGGCAAAAUGAAAAAAAUUAUUUUUCCAGAAAAUAUAGAAAAUUAUUGGAAAUUCUUGAGGAACCUGGCAACAUUAAUACAGACCAAAGCUAUCAUUAUUCUUCUCAGCUUUUUCUUUCUUCAAUUGACCAGUAAAAGAUCUGCGGCUGGCAACCAACGAUUCGUAACGUGAACAUUGGUCGCUUAAAGAGACAAGAGAGCUACAUACCAGCAUCGGUCGUAAUUCGAUUCCUUUGUCGAAGGAAUUUUACCUGCAAUCCUGAAAACCUCAAUCUACCUUUUGCUCAUCGACUCUUUAGAUCGCGAAGGAAUCUAUGAGAAAUAAAAUCGUUUCCAUGGUACUGGAAUGAAGAGAAAAACAAAUCUUUAUUUUUACACUUUCUUACCUCUAAACGUUACAUUUUGUGCAUCAGAAAUAAACAUUGUUAAGUAGGCAUUAAAAUGUGAGAGCUGAAGGCUAAUACGACACCGAUAUACUGUGCCAUUUGAUAAAAAUAAAAAAUGAAAUCGACCGUUUAUUAUCCGAGGGUGGUGAAUACGAUUCGGAGCCGUGUCAUUGCGGCGAAUUGGACGUGUUACUAACUCGUGAAAUUUCGAUCAGAGAUCUUUCUUCUUGUCAUUGACCUUGAAAUAAAAACAAAAAACACUCAUGUGGAGCAACUAUUAAACGCGACUACGUUACUCGAUACCAUUUACUGGCGGAUUAGAAGACAUCGACAUGUGGUUAUUGUGGUUCUGCUGAUGGCUCUGGACAUGUGUUACCUUGGAAACAGUCGGACGACCAGCUAAGAAAGCUGCUAACCGCUCC
Hylaeus anthracinus is the source of this 1797-nucleotide long non-coding RNA. RefSeq lists it as uncharacterized. Lineage: Eukaryota; Metazoa; Arthropoda; Insecta; Hymenoptera; Colletidae. The record is from RefSeq and is a predicted model, not a curated record. The transcript is spliced from 2 exons.